UACCAGCAGCCCCGAGUGGUCGGGACGUUUAUUGGGCCUAAAGCAUCCGUAGCCGGUUCUACAAGUCUUCCGUUAAAUCCGAGCUGCCUUAACAGAGUGGGCUGACGGGAAGAUACUAUGGAGCUAGGAGGCGGGAGAGGCAAAGCGGUACUCGAUGGGAUAGGGGUAAAAUCCGUUGAUCCGAUUGAAGACCACCAGUGGCGAAGGCGGCUUGCCAGAACGCGCUCGACGGUGAGGGAUGAAAGCUGGGGGAGCCAAACCGGG
Molecule: ribosomal RNA, 264 nt
Filed under: uncultured bacterium
Lineage: Bacteria
Description: partial 16S ribosomal RNA
Rfam family: Archaeal small subunit ribosomal RNA
Source: RNAcentral